Molecule: long non-coding RNA, 1241 nt
Organism: Epinephelus lanceolatus (giant grouper)
Lineage: Eukaryota; Metazoa; Chordata; Actinopteri; Perciformes; Serranidae
Source: RefSeq, a predicted model, not a curated record
GAAUAAACAGAGUUUAAGAGCCUGUCUCAUUUGAUAAGAAGCCAGAAACUGUAAUUAACUUAAGUGGCAGGCGAUUGCGCACACCCACAAACAAGCUCAUCAUGUUCAUCCACUUAAUGAAGAAAAAGAACUUGUACAUCCUCCUCAUGUCCAACAGGAAGUGUGAGAAAUCUUUUUGAGUGACAAUAGGUUUAUCUGGUAGAUCACGGCUCUGCAUGCUUGUCCUGAUCUGAACUUGGACUUUGAAUCAAGAUGCUCCUGCAACCUCUCAUCUACAACCUAGUCAGCUCAGACCGAUGAUGACCUGCUUUGGUGCCUGUGCUACUCAGGGAUCCACAACCACACAUGGAGCUGCAGGAUCAGAACCUUGAAGAGCACCACAAGACAGAAGAGGACAUCACAGGGACAGAGCAACUGCUAACGUGCCUACUCAGCACAAAGUGGAAAAUCCAACAAGACUAAUGUUUGAAUUAUGACCACAUUGGUGCAAAGAGGAUGUACACCAAUCGAGAUGGUGAGCAAAAAAGGAACUUUAACAAAAAAAGCUUCAGUUAUUGGAGGCUGCGCUGACAGUCAAAGUGGUAGGCAAGUUUAAAAUUGCAUUAAUACACUUUUCCUCUCAGCCUGCCCACAACGCCUUAAACAUUGCAUCAAAACUUUUAAUGUCUUUUAAAACAUGUCAGACUGCAUCACAGCAGCAAGAGUCACACUGCUAAGACAGGCUAGAAGAAAGUGACGUGUAUUUUUGCAUCUUGAUGGUCCCUGGCUUCCUUUUUGUCUGGACUCCGUACUCCACUUCUGAUCAUCGGGAAACGGGGGAGCUGGUUUCACUGUCUCAACAACAACAAUCCCAGCUUUCUUUGCAAAGCGCUCAGCUCUGUAUAAUCCUGUUAUCUGCAGUAUGUGAUGCUGAAGAAAGAGGCUGCUUCUUCAACAAUACUGAAAGCCAGAACCUGUCCACUCUGCUGGAUUGACUUAUGUUUUAUAUAUUUUUAUUCUUUUUUUAAAUAUAUGAAAUAACAGUUAUUAACAAUUGCUUACCAGUAACACAGAAGUCUUCACUGUGCCCUCUGUGUACUCUGUAUUAUGUGUGGACUGAUCUACACAGGUUUACUGAUUAAUAAAUCCGAAUAAAUGAAUGGAUGUUGGAAAACUGCAAAUUUGUAAUGUCAUUACUGGAUUUAUCUAAUCCUGUUGUAAUCUUGUCACUUGAAUGAAUUAAAAAAUCUAUUUGUAAGCUU